Molecule: long non-coding RNA, 109 nt
Organism: Sinocyclocheilus grahami
Lineage: Eukaryota; Metazoa; Chordata; Actinopteri; Cypriniformes; Cyprinidae
Exons: 3
Source: RefSeq, a predicted model, not a curated record
AACUUUAAAAAAAAAACGUUUUCCGUAUUUGGCCUUCGGCCCCGUGUUUAAUUUUGUUCGGCUUCGGCCAAGAAUUUAUUUCGGUGCAUCCCUAGAAAAUACAGUAUUG